AUUGAACGCUGGCGGCAGGCUUAACACAUGCAAGUCGAGCGGAUGAAGGGAGCUUGUUCCUGGAUUCAGCGGCGGACGGGUGAGUAAUGCAUAGGAAUCUGCCUGGUAGUGGGGGAUAACGUCCGGAAACGGGCGGUAAUACCGCAUACGUCCUGAGGGAGAAAGUGGGGGUUCUUCGGACCUAACGCUAUCAGAUGAGCCUAGGUCGGCUUAGCUAGUUGGUGGGGUAAAGGCCUACCAAGGCGACGAUCCGUAACUGGACUGAGAGGAUGAUCAGGCACCCUGGAACUGGACCAGGGACCAUAGGCCUACGGGACGCAGCAGUGGGGAAUGUUAGACAGCAGUCGAGAACCUUGUCCAGCCAGGCCACGUGUGUUGAAAAGAUCCUCGGAGUGUGAAGCACGUUAUGUGGUUGUAAACCGCAUUAAGUUAAGACCUUGCGGUAGUGACGGUACCAGCAGAAUAAGCACCGGCUAACUACGUG
Molecule: ribosomal RNA, 484 nt
Filed under: uncultured bacterium
Lineage: Bacteria
Description: partial 16S ribosomal RNA
Rfam family: Bacterial small subunit ribosomal RNA
Source: RNAcentral